CGCCUUGGGAACAACGAAGGGCCGCGUUGGCACCGCCAGCGGCUGCGGGCGGCUGCGGGAGGGGGCGCGGCGGGGCGGAGACCAGCGACGUGAGCCGGUCCUCGGGCUCUCCGGAAUCCGAGUGUGCGGGAGGGGCGCGGGUGGUCGCGCAGCAGGCGAUGGCCGGGACCCUCGGCCCCUGAGCGGAAGAGGAGCCCUUCCGUGGGAGCUGGGGCAGCCGGGGCUGCGGCUGGUGAGGCAAGACGCCCCCCCGGGGUGGCGCUGGCUCUGUCACCGGCUCUGUCACCUCGGUUUCUUAUCUGUGGACUGGAGAAAGUAACCUCUCCCCUGCCUGCCUCCCAGGGACAGUUCCAGAAGCCACAGAGUGCGUCCCAGGUAGAGUUAGGCCCUGAGUUUGGGCACCUGAUUCAUACCUGCUGCGCUUUCUCACAGCUUCAAAACCCCCACAACCUUUGGGCUUGGGUUCCUUAAGCCCAAGCUCAACCCUGCCAGGGCAAAGAUGGAAGAGAGCAGGACUCCCGGAGGACUGUGACUGCUGGCAUGGUAUGACAGGCAGCAGAGCACUACAGAUCAGAGCACUGAGGCACAGAGAGGGACCGCCCCACCUCCUCCCCGAGACUUGCUGUCACGGAUCCCAGACCCACUCACCAGUGUCAUCGGAGACGCUAGGCCUCUGGCUGCCAGCAGGGGAGCGGAGAACGUCAUCGCUGUACAUGAGGAAGCUUUCGUAGUCUUCCCCGCACUGGGCGUCCACAAUGGGGAUGUCCGGGAUGAUGGGGACUGCAGGAGGGGGAGGGGUGAACCAGGGCCCCAGCCCUGGCCUCCCAGCUUCCUCUGUCCCGCCUGCCCCCCUCCUCUGCUCCCCGCCCCCACUCACUGGACAUGGGUCGCUUGGGCUGGGUGGCCAGGUUGAUGAUGGCCUCCCGCUCUGGGCCCCAGCCUGCCCCAUUGCGCGCCUUCACCGUGUAGCGGUAUGGCUGGGACUCCCGAAGGUUCUCAAUGAGCAGCGUCCGCUUCUUGGGACUGUCCACCAAUACCUUCUUCAUGGGCCCGAUGGGUCCUGGGGCAGGGAGAGCGCCUCAGACGGGUCAUUCUAGCUUCCUGCCUGGCCUAGCCCCGCUCUGAUGCAGCAGCCCCCCGUGUGGGCUCUUUACUUCCCAGAGAGAGCACAGGAGACAAGCUGGGAGCAAGCAGCUGCGGGAAUCCCGGGUCACGCCAAGCCCUGAGAACCUGGGCAAGACUGGUUUCAAGAAGUGUCACCGACUCUCUGAAGGGCUCAUCCUUAAGUGGCAGAGCGAGGACAAGACUCAAGGUGGCUUCAAUGUCACCUCUAGGAUUGGCGCUGCGAUGGCCCUGUGUCCAGGGCACCUCCACUGGACACAUGUUUUGGCGGUGAAGGCGUAGGUGCCUCGUUGCCCACCGCCAGACCCCAGGUGCUGAGGGCAGAGAUGGCCCAACACCCACCACAGUUGCCAUGGGGUCCUCUUACCCUAACCCACGAGCACCUAGAAGGGUGGACACACAGCCCUGGCAGAAAGGAGAACGUGACCCCCGUAGCUCAGGGCAAGUUCCGGGUUUAGGCCCAGGCCCAACCAAGAAGGGGUCUGCCGUGGGGUGGCUCAGUUGUUAGGUGUCUGCCUUCAGCUUAGGCCCUGAUCCCGGGGUCCUGGGAUCAAGCCUCGCAUCGGGCUCCCGGCUCAAUGGGAAGCCUGCUUCUCCCUCCCCCACUCCCCCUGCUUGUGUUCCCUCUCUCGCUGUGUCUAUCUGUCAAAUAAAUACACAAAAUCUUUAAAAAAAAAGAGAGAGAGAAAAUAAAAAAGAA
Long non-coding RNA from Mustela lutreola (European mink), 1822 nucleotides. RefSeq lists it as uncharacterized. The record is from RefSeq and is a predicted model, not a curated record. Lineage: Eukaryota; Metazoa; Chordata; Mammalia; Carnivora; Mustelidae. The transcript is spliced from 2 exons.